GUGGGGAAUAUUGCACAAUGGGGGAAACCCUGAUGCAGCAACGCCGCGUGAGUGAAGAAGUAUUUCGGUAUGUAAAGCUCUAUCAGCAGGGAAGAAGAAAUGACGGUACCUGACUAAGAAGCACCGGCUAAAUACGUGCCAGCAGCCGCGGUAAUACGUAUGGUGCAAGCGUUAUCCGGAUUUACUGGGUGUAAAGGGAGCGCAGGCGGAAGGCUAAGUCUGAUGUGAAAGCCCGGGGCUCAACCCCGGUACUGCAUUGGAAACUGGUCAUCUAGAGUGUCGGAGGGGUAAGUGGAAUUCCUAGUGUAGCGGUGAAAUGCGUAGAUAUUAGGAGGAACACCAGUGGCGAAGGCGGCUUACUGGACGAUAACUGACGCUGAGGCUCGAAAGCGUGGGGAGCAAACAGGAUUAGAAACCCUGGUAGUCC
This 427-nucleotide ribosomal RNA is filed under the name uncultured bacterium. Its description in RNAcentral is "partial 16S ribosomal RNA". It matches the Rfam family "Bacterial small subunit ribosomal RNA", at positions 354 to 796 of the family's 1533-position model. The record is from RNAcentral.